Thunnus maccoyii (southern bluefin tuna) is the source of this 1356-nucleotide long non-coding RNA. RefSeq lists it as uncharacterized. The transcript is spliced from 4 exons. The record is from RefSeq and is a predicted model, not a curated record. Lineage: Eukaryota; Metazoa; Chordata; Actinopteri; Scombriformes; Scombridae.
GCCAUCUUUGAUUUUUGGAGCCAGAAGUGACUAUAUUUGGACGAGAGGGUGGAGUUGGGUGGGUCUGCGGAGUUAGGACGAUUCUAUGGGCCUGUGAUUGACAGAGGCCCUAAAAAUUAUUAAAACAUUAGGUACAUUUUUUACAUUUCAAUAUCAAAUUGUCUUUUUCUUUUCUUGUUUUUGGCAGUAAGUAAACAUCCUGAGAGUAUUGCCUGACCUCCCUCUCUAUUCACACGAAAUGGUUCGGUCCUGCUCCCCAACCAGGCGCGAACGGUACUUGCUAGUAGUGAAUCGCUAGUAAACAGGGGCGGUGGAUCUUCAUGUCUCAGUUUCCUAAAUUAAAAUCUGGCUUCUAAAACCGAAAGGACAGGCAAGGAAGACAAGAAAAAGAAAGGAAAGGACGAGAGUAUGUCACCAAAUUUUCCACAAAGAAAGGCCCAACAGAUGCAGCUUCAGGCUCAGCAGCCCUGUCUCCCCAUCCCAGUCCACCUGCCAAUGAACCAGCCCUCCGCCCAACUGUAGAAGUGGCAGGUAUACAGUAAGAACAGCAUGGGGGAUUAAGCAGGAAAGAGAGAAACGCUUUCUCACAACCCCUACAGAGCAAGGUGGCCUGCACUCCACAUCGAAAUGGAAAAUCGUCUGCACCUGACAGAGCUGGUCUGACAGGAGAGCUGUGUCUCAUUAUAGGUAUUGUCUAACCAUCAUCAUCAUCGCCUUGAGCUACAGCACUGAGCUUCCUGACCCAACUAGCACCUCAGUAUAUCACACCCAGAUCUCAUGAGUCAUGAACUGCUGCAAUGAAAAUGAACUAGACAUCACUACAGGAGCCUUGAAAAGUUGAUUCAGUCUGAAGUCAGAUUCAGAUAGAUUUAAGACUAAUCUGACCAUUUGUAGGAGAUCGACUUGUAAAAGCACUUCCAUGUGAUAGCGCAGCAGCUGGCCUCAUACUGACUGAUGACUGAAUAUUAUAGAACUACUGGAUUUUUAAUGUGUGAUAAAACACAGAUAAUCAGUGUUGCCAGAUUGGGAUUGGGCUACUUUUUUGUUAAUUGGGUGGGUAAAAAUAGUUUUGAGUAGGCUUUGAUCAUAUUGGCUAAGUUUUGUAUCAUUUGGGUGCUUUCCACAGACAAAAAAAUCAGGCUAUAUUCCAAUAAAUCUGCCCCUCUUCUCAUCCGAAAAGAUUUGAGAUUUACUGUGCACACUCAGCAAGCUCAACUCGACAUACAAUGACUGAUAACUGAUGACCAUGAAAACCAAAUGUCAUUUCAGUUCAUUACAACUAAGCUGCAAGUUUUUUCCUAUUUCAAUUAUUAUUCAUAUUCAGUCAUAGUUUUGUAAUAAAACACAAUCUGUUCA